This 502-nucleotide ribosomal RNA is filed under the name uncultured bacterium. RNAcentral's name for it is "partial 16S ribosomal RNA". It matches the Rfam family "Bacterial small subunit ribosomal RNA", at positions 28 to 507 of the family's 1533-position model. The record is from RNAcentral.
GACGAACGCUGGCGGCGUGCCUAAUACAUGCAAGUCGAACGAACCGCGACUAAGUGCUUGCACUAAGUCAAGGUGAGUGGCGAACGGGUGAGUAACACGUGGGUAACCUACCUCAUAGUGGGGGAUAACAGUCGGAAACGACUGCUAAUACCGCAUAGGACAUAGGAUCACAUGAUCCAGUGAGGAAAGGUGGCGCAAGCUAUCGCUAAGAGAUGGACCCGCGGUGCAUUAGCUAGUUGGUAGGGUAAAGGCCUACCAAGGCGAUGAUGCAUAGCCGACCUGAGAGGGUGCUCGGCCCCAUUGGGACUGAGACACCGCCCAUACUCCUACGGGAGGCAGCAGUCGGGAAUCUUCCGCAAUGGAAGCAAGUCUGCCGGAGCAACGCCGCGUGAGUGAAGCAGGUCUUAGGAUCGUAAAGCUCUGCUGUUCGAGAAGAACAGCGCAUAGAGUAACUGCUAUGCGUGUGACGGUCUCUAACCAGCAAGCCACGGCUAACUCCGUG